GGAAGGAUCAUUAAAAGAGAUAUCUUAUCACCUAAAGUUUUGCCUUCGGGGAAAGCUUUAGUGAUAAACCUCUCCACCCUUUGCUUGUUAUACCAAUUGUUGCUUUGGCGAGUCGUGGUAAAAUAAGGACUUGUCUUUAUUUUCCCCAUUGGCUUUCGAGCUGAUGCGUUGCUCGCCAAUAGCCAAAAAUUUAAAACCUUGAAAUAUCUAUUGAAGUCUGAAUUAUAAACUAUGAAAAUAGCCUAAAACUUUCAACAACGGAUCUCUUGGUUCUGGCAUCGAUGAAGAACGCAGCGAAAUGCGAUAAGUAAUGUGAAUUGCAGAAUUCAGUGAAUCAUCGAAUCUUUGAACGCACAUUGCGCCCUCUGGUAUUCCGGGGGGCAUGCCUGUUCGAGCGUCAUUUUCACCCCUCAAGCUUAGCUUGGUAUUGGGUGCUCAUCAUUCUCCUUGGGGAGAGAGGUGUGCCCGAAAUUUAGCGGCGAUGCAGCCGAACUCCCUAGCGCAGUGACUACAAUUACAACGCUACAAGGAGGUUUCGACUUGUGUUUGCCGGACAACAACCAAAUUUUUUACGAUUGACCUCGGAUCAGGUAGGGAUACCCGCUGAACUUAAGCAUAUCAAUAAGCGGAGGAAAAGAAACCAACAGGGAUUGCCUCAGUAACGGCGAGUGAAGCGGCAACAGCUCAAAUUUGAAAUCUAGGUCCUAGCGACCUCGAGUUGUAAUUUGUAGAGGAUGUUUCGGGUGAGGUAUCGAUCUAAGUUCCUUGGAACAGGGCGUCAUAGAGGGUGAGAAUCCCGUAUGUGACCGAUAUCCAAUCCCAUGUGAAACUCCUUCGACGAGUCGAGUUGUUUGGGAAUGCAGCUCAAAAUGGGUGGUAAAUUUCAUCUAAAGCUAAAUACUGGCCAGAGACCGAUAGCGCACAAGUAGAGUGAUCGAAAGAUGAAAAGCACUUUGGAAAGAGAGUUAAAAAGUACGUGAAAUUGUUGAAAGGGAAGCGCUUGCAGCCAGACUCGCUCGGGGAUGAUCAACCUUCCUUUUGGAUGGUGCACUCUUCCUCGAUCGGGCCAGCAUCGGUUCGGUCGGCUGGAUAAAGGUUCUAGGAACGUAGCUCCUCUCGGGGAGUGUUAUAGCCUAGUUCGUAAUGCAGCCAGACUGGACCGAGGACCGCGCUUUUUGCUAGGAUGCUGGCGUAAUGGCUGUCAGCGACCCGUCUUGAAACACGGACCAAGGAGUCAACCAACCGUGCGAGUGUUUGGGUGUAAAACCCACACGCGUAAUGAAAGUGAACGGAGGUGAGAACCCCUUUAGGGGCGCAUCAUCGACCGAUCCUGAUGUCUUCGGAUGGAUUUGAGUAAGAGCACAGCUGGUUGGACCCGAAAGAUGGUGAACUAUGCGUGAAUAGGGUGAAGCCAGAGGAAACUCUGGUGGAGGCUCGCAGCGGUUCUGACGUGCAAAUCGAUCGUCAAAUUUGCGUAUAGGGGCGAAAGACUAAUCGAACCAUCUAGUAGCUGGUUCCUGC
RNAcentral lists this unclassified non-coding RNA (1521 nucleotides) under uncultured fungus. RNAcentral's name for it is "sequence contains 18S rRNA gene, ITS1, 5.8S rRNA gene, ITS2, 28S rRNA gene". The stretch from base 577 to 1521 matches the Rfam family "Eukaryotic large subunit ribosomal RNA", at positions 1 to 961 of the family's 3401-position model. The record is from RNAcentral. Lineage: Eukaryota; Fungi.